RNAcentral lists this long non-coding RNA (150 nucleotides) under Cebus imitator (Panamanian white-faced capuchin). Its description in RNAcentral is "CDKN2B antisense RNA 1 intronic convserved region (ENSCCAG00000011480.1)". It matches the Rfam family "CDKN2B antisense RNA 1 intronic convserved region". Rfam says of the family: CDKN2B-AS, also known as ANRIL (antisense non-coding RNA in the INK4 locus) is a long non-coding RNA consisting of 19 exons, spanning 126.3kb in the genome, and spliced product is a 3834bp RNA. Single nucleotide polymorphisms (SNPs) which alter the expression of CDKN2B-AS are associated with many diseases, including coronary artery disease, diabetes and many cancers. The record is from RNAcentral. Lineage: Eukaryota; Metazoa; Chordata; Mammalia; Primates; Cebidae.
UCCUCCGACCUUGCUGCCCUCCUCCUUUGUCACUGUGGAGAAACAGGAAGGAAUGUUUAUUAGCAAGACUGACUGGGGUCACACCCAAGGCAAUUUCAGAUUUUUACCUCUCCCGGCCCUGGGAAGAAGUUCAAGGAUCAAGGACAAACU